RNAcentral lists this long non-coding RNA (1079 nucleotides) under Homo sapiens (human). RNAcentral describes it as "HSALNT0345305". Lineage: Eukaryota; Metazoa; Chordata; Mammalia; Primates; Hominidae. The record is from RNAcentral.
UGCGCGGUCUGCCUCCCGCGGCGGGCCGGGUCUCCAGGGAGGACCUGAGUUUUCUUCACCCAUUGUCAGGGAGGCGCCAUCGCCCUGGCUUUGGGGCUGGGGCCUCCGGGGAGGUUCCGGUAGGGGCGUUGGAGAGGCCGCUCUUUUUGCAAGGCCCGAGACGGCGGGCCCUGCGCAGGCCGCCCUAUUCCGCGCCCUCAGGGCGUCAGUAUCAGCCUGAGGCUGGAUACCCCCGCUGGGCCCGGAUGACCCCGCUGGGCCCGGAGCAUCCUCCGGCGCUGCCCUCCCAGAGCCACGCAGAGGCUGAGGUGGCGCGGGGGCGGCCCCGGCUCCGCGAGAAGCGGCGGCAGCGAGGGCUGGAGGACCCGGGCUGCGGGGCUCCGGGGCGUCUGGCCUGGGUGGGACUGAGCCCAUCCAGGGACUGGGACUCUGGGAUUCUGGUGUAGGUGGAUCCGGGGCAGGCUCAGGACCAAGUCCCUCUCCUUCCACCAAGGAGCGCCCAGAGGCCGGCGGGAGCUCCAGGUUCACCUCCUCCUCCUCCAGGAAAUCCCACUUCCAGCUAGAUGUCUGCAUGAACUACUGAAAGCUGCUGAGUGUCUUGCAGCAGGUGAGCUGUGGCCAGAGCUCAAGGAUGAAGGGGACUCCCUCACUCUGUGACUGUGAAGAGGAAGCCUGAGGUGUAGCAGGCCCAGGCCCCAGAAGUAUGGAAAAAAUGAGGCCAUUUUCAAUCCAGAGGAAGACCUUCUAAAAGAGGUGAUGGAUGGGAGAGUGCUGACAUACUAUGUGAAGCUACUAUUUGGAGUUGGACACGAGUGCAUGUGACCUUGUGCCACAGCGGGAAUCUUGACUACCACACAAAUGAAUCCAUUCAAAUGUUGGCAAGUGGAGCAGAGUCCCAGGACAGAUCACAUUCUUAACCUCUAGAGAGUCUGGCAGGACCAGAGCCUUACCUUUCCCAGUCUGCAAUCUCUACAGGUACAGAAACACCCCCAGUUCAAGAAUCUUCACAUCUGAAUUUAGUCCUACACCUGCAACUACCCCAGCUACUUACACCAAGAUGAAGAUAAUUUAUUAGUUCA